ACGAACGCUGGCGGCGUGCUUCACACAUGCAAGUCGAACGGUGAAGGGGUCUGCUUUUGUGGGCCCUGGAUGAGUGGCGAACGGGUGAGUAACACGUGAGUAACCUGCCCCCUUCUUCUGGAUAACCGCAUGAAAGUGUGGCUAAUACGGGAUAUUCUGGGUCUGUCGCAUGAUGGGUCUGGGAAAGAUUGCGCCUUUGGGUGUUUUUGGUGGGGGAUGGGCUCGCGGCCUAUCAGCUUGUUGAUGGGGUGAUGGCCUACCAAGGCGGUGACGGGUAGCCGGCCUGAGAGGGUGGACGGUCACACUGGGACUGAGACACGGCCCAGACUCCUACGGGAGGCAGCAGUGGGGAAUAUUGCACAAUGGGCGCAAGCCUGAUGCAGCGACGCCGCGUGAGGGAUGGAGGCCUUCGGGUUGUAAACCUCUUUCGCCAGUGAAGCAGGCCUGCUCCUUGUGGGUGGGUUGACGGUAGCUGGAUAAGAAGCGCCGGCUAACUACGUG
RNAcentral lists this ribosomal RNA (501 nucleotides) under uncultured bacterium. RNAcentral's name for it is "partial 16S ribosomal RNA". It matches the Rfam family "Bacterial small subunit ribosomal RNA", at positions 29 to 507 of the family's 1533-position model. The record is from RNAcentral.